AUUGAACGCUGGCGGCAUGCCUUACACAUGCAAGUCGAACGGUAACGCGGGGCAACCUGGCGACGAGUGGCGAACGGGUGAGUAAUACAUCGGAACAUAUCCAGUAGCGGGGGAUAACCUAUCGAAAGAUUGGCUAAUACCGCAUACGAUCUACGGAUGAAAGCAGGGGACCGCAAGGCCUUGCACUAUUGGAGUGGCCGAUGUCAGAUUAGCUAGUUGGUGGGGUAAAAGCCUACCAAGGCGACGAUCUGUAGCUGGUCUGAGAGGACGAUCAGCCACACUGGAACUGAGACACGGUCCAGACUCCUACGGGAGGCAGCAGUGGGAAUUUUGGACAAUGGCGCAAGCCUGAUCCAGCCAUGCCGCGUGAGUGAAGAAGG
RNAcentral lists this ribosomal RNA (380 nucleotides) under uncultured bacterium. Its description in RNAcentral is "bacterial SSU rRNA". It matches the Rfam family "Bacterial small subunit ribosomal RNA", at positions 30 to 414 of the family's 1533-position model. The record is from RNAcentral.